RNAcentral lists this ribosomal RNA (468 nucleotides) under uncultured bacterium. Its description in RNAcentral is "partial 16S ribosomal RNA". It matches the Rfam family "Bacterial small subunit ribosomal RNA", at positions 28 to 507 of the family's 1533-position model. The record is from RNAcentral.
GACGAACGCUGGCGGCGUGCUUAACACAUGCAAGUCGAACGGAAAGGCCCUGCUUGUUUGGUGUGCUCGAGUGGCGAACGGGUGAGUAACACGUGAGUAACCUGCCCUUGACUUUGGGAUAACUUCAGGAAACUGGGGCUAAUACCGGAUAGGAGCUCCUGCUGCAUGGUGGGGGUUGGAAAGUUUCGGCGGUUGGGGAUGGACUCGCGGCUGAUCAGCUUGUUGGUUGGGUAGUGGCUUACCAAGGCUUGGACGGGUAGCCAGCCUGAGAGGGUGAACGGCCACCAUGGGCCUGAGAGAGGGAGCAGAGUCCUACGGGGGGCAGUAGUCGGGAAUAUUGUCCAACGGGAGGAAGCCUGAUGAAGAAACGCCGGGUGUGUGAUGACGGCCUUCGGGUUGUAAACCGCUUUAGCCUGUGACGAAGCGUGAGUGACGGUAAUGGGUAAAGAAGCACCGGCUAACUACGUG